UAAGGAGUUUGUUCAACUUUUAAAUUCCUACAUGAUCUGAGUUCAGACCGGCGUAAGCCAGGUUGGUUUCUAUCUUUAUUUUAAAAUAUUUUUAAUUAGUACGAAAGGAAUAUUAAAAAAUAAUAAUUUAUUAUUAAUUAUUUUUAUUUAAAAAAUAUUAU
This 161-nucleotide ribosomal RNA is filed under the name Ixodes trichosuri. RNAcentral's name for it is "partial large rRNA subunit". The record is from RNAcentral. Lineage: Eukaryota; Metazoa; Arthropoda; Arachnida; Ixodida; Ixodidae.